CAAGCGGCCGGGCGCGGGCGGAGGUGGGGGACUUGGAGAGAAAGUGUCGCCUAGAGUAACUUCGAGCUUCGUUUUGUCGUUUGCAUGAGUCCUUACUCGCGAUUAGGUGCUCAGUAAACAUUUGAAGGGGAAAAAGAAGAAAACACGGAAGGAGUGAAGAGAGAAACCUCAAGGACAUAGAGACAAGCAAACAGCGCUUCCUUGGGUCUGGAGUCUCUCUGAUCUAUUCUGCCUUUACCCUGCUGAGGACAGAUCACCUUGAGCGAAGUGCAACAGGACUGGUUCCAUAACUCGAGUCUUUAAAAGGAAGCCACAGCCUGUGAACACCCUCAGGGACACAGCCUGCAAUCUCAACCCAUUGCUCUGCGGAGAAGGGUGAUUGGCAACAGAAAGUAUGCUAUCUCCACCUGGGCGUAACCUGCUUGUUCUUUGGGAGGUCUGGGUGAUCUGUCUGUGACAGCUGUCAGCCACUGACAUCUUGUAGUAAGUCAUUUAUCUGUCUAGAAGGAGGGGUACAUACAUCGAUCAGUCCUCACUGCUCCAAGCACAUCCAUCUCGAGUUAUUCCUUCAAUUAAGGGGGGAUAGAGUUCUUCAGCCGAGAAAAUGAAACUCUUACUUCUCUUAGAUCUAGCUCAAAAGUCACUUGCCCAAUGACACCUUCCCUGAAGCCUCCUCUAUAAUAGGAAUUCACAUUUAGUGAAUAUUUGUAGGUGUUAGGCAUUGUGUUAGGUUCUUUCAAAUACAUUUUUUAAUCCUUGCAAUACGGUGUGGUCAUUAUUACCAUCAUCAUUUUCAUGGAGGAAACUGAGGCUCGGAGAGACUUAAGGUAACUCGUCUGAGGACCCACAGUGAGGGAAUGAAUGGUAGAGCUGGGAAGAGGACCCUGUUUGCCCGGUACAUGUCAAGUUAAUUGCUCCCUUCUUUGUUUCCACAGACCUUGAUGUUUACUUCUAUCUUGGGUUUUUUGGCAUAGCUCCCUCUUGUGUCCCCUAGGCCUUAGCACAAUGGACAGCUCACCACAACGUCCCCUUUAACCUUGCCCAGUUGAAUGACAGCCCUCUGCAAAAUUAGAAGCCUUUGAGAUCUCCUGUGUGGUUGAUUGCCUCCCUUUACAGGCUCUGCAGGGCUGUAUCCUGACCCAUAAUUGGAACCCUCAACCCCUCUUACCCUCUUUUUCUUUUCCAAUCCAUCCUUCCUCUCUCAAAGCAUAAAAGGAAUGACUGCAUCAUUUAUCUUGGCAAUGAAUCAACUGUUUAUACGUCAGCCCAAAAUAUGUUUUAGCUGAACGAGAUUCUCAAAUUCUUUCGGUCGUGAAAUGUUAAAAGCUAGAUAGGUGCAAGCUGUUGAACGCUAGGUGGUACUGUUCCUCUUCGCUGGGAUACCAGUGACCACACACAGGGUCCCUCUGCUUCCAUACUGUGCUGAGUCCUGAGACCCGCCUCUGGUGCCCUGCAUAAUUUGUUCAUUUUGUACAUAAAUGCUGCUGUUUCUGCUGGGACACAGGAAAAUCACUGACACAUAAGCAUCCCCUCCUGUGCCCUUGCCUGUAAUGAAUGACCCUAUGGCCUUCCCAUCCUUUUCAUGGGGAUCUAGUGUCCAUGGGGCUUCUAAUUUCCCUCAGCCUAUGCCUUCCUUGCUCUAAAAAAUCCUACCACUUUCAUGCAGAUAAUUUUCCGAUUUCAAGAAGGUCGAGGCUGCAUUUACGGCUUUUUCCCCUUAUUGCCUUCUCUAUUUUCCUUUCUUCCUGUGAAUUUUCUUCAUUUUGUCAAAAGUCCUUCUCAUGCCACCUAGUGCAUUUCUAGCUUUCUCCUAAGGCCCCCUUUAGUCUUCCAGGGAUCUCUUCUCAGUCAGUCUUUAAGCUCUGUUCU
Long non-coding RNA from Lynx canadensis (Canada lynx), 1869 nucleotides. RefSeq lists it as uncharacterized. NCBI's taxonomy places the organism in Eukaryota, Metazoa, Chordata, Mammalia, Carnivora, Felidae. The transcript is spliced from 4 exons. The record is from RefSeq and is a predicted model, not a curated record.